CAAUUGACUGCCGAAGACAGCAGGUGCCGUUAGGCAUAAGGAUGAAAACGCCUGCCGAGGAAGAUAUGGAUUCUUAAUGAUAAGAACGAAUUACGAACCUCUGUGUCUUUGGAUACAGAGGUUUUUUA
Molecule: small RNA, 128 nt
Filed under: uncultured Schaedlerella sp.
Lineage: Bacteria; Bacillati; Bacillota; Clostridia; Lachnospirales; Lachnospiraceae
Description: Ribosomal protein L10 leader
Rfam family: Ribosomal protein L10 leader
About the family: This family is a putative r-protein leader autoregulatory structure found in B. subtilis and other low-GC Gram-positive bacteria. It is located in the 5' untranslated regions of mRNAs encoding ribosomal proteins L10 and L12 (rplJ-rplL). A Rho-independent transcription terminator structure that is probably involved in regulation is included at the 3' end.
Source: RNAcentral